Molecule: ribosomal RNA, 497 nt
Filed under: uncultured bacterium
Lineage: Bacteria
Description: partial 16S ribosomal RNA
Rfam family: Bacterial small subunit ribosomal RNA
Source: RNAcentral
GACGAACGCUGGCGGCGUGCCUAAUACAUGCAAGUUGAGCGCUGAAGGUUGGUACUUGUACCAACUGGAUGAGCAGCGAACGGGUGAGUAACGCGUGGGGAAUCUGCCUUUGAGCGGGGGACAACAUUUGGAAACGAAUGCUAAUACCGCAUAAAAACUUUAAACACAAGUUUUAAGUUUGAAAGAUGCAAUUGCAUCACUCAAAGAUGAUCCCGCGUUGUAUUAGCUAGUUGGUGAGGUAAAGGCUCACCAAGGCGAUGAUACAUAGCCGACCUGAGAGGGUGAUCGGCCACAUUGGGACUGAGACACGGCCCAAACUCCUACGGGAGGCAGCAGUAGGGAAUCUUCGGCAAUGGACGAAAGUCUGACCGAGCAACGCCGCGUGAGUGAAGAAGGUUCUCGGAUCGUAAAACUCUGUUGGUAGAGAAGAACGUUGGUGAGAGUGGAAAGCUCAUAAAGUGACGGUAACUACCCAGAAAGGGACGGCUAACUACGUG